Molecule: ribosomal RNA, 428 nt
Filed under: uncultured prokaryote
Description: bacterial SSU rRNA
Rfam family: Bacterial small subunit ribosomal RNA
Source: RNAcentral
UGAGGAAUAUUGCGCAAUGGGGGCAACCCUGACGCAGCAACGCCGCGUGAGUGAGGAAGGUUUUCGGAUCGUAAAGCUCUGUCGGGUGGGAAGAAAUGUAUGGGGGUUAAUAGCCUUUGUACUUGACGGUACCGCCAAAGGAAGCACCGGCUAACUCCGUGCCAGCAGCCGCGGUAAUACGGGGGGUGCAAGCGGUGUUCGGAAUCAUUGGGCGUAAAGAGCGUGUAGGCGGCUAGGCAAGUCAGAUGUGAAAUCCCUGGGCUUAACCCAGGACGUGCAUUUGAAGCUGCUUAGCUUGAGUAAGGAAGAGGGAAGUGGAAUUCCUGGUGUGUAGGUGAAAUACGUAGAGAUCGGGAGGAACACCAGCGGCGCAGGCGGCUCACUAGACAGUUUCUGACGCUAAGAUACGAAAGCGUGGGGAGCAAACA